This 511-nucleotide ribosomal RNA is filed under the name Escherichia coli. RNAcentral's name for it is "partial 23S ribosomal RNA". It matches the Rfam family "Bacterial large subunit ribosomal RNA", at positions 1145 to 1657 of the family's 2925-position model. Lineage: Bacteria; Pseudomonadati; Pseudomonadota; Gammaproteobacteria; Enterobacterales; Enterobacteriaceae. The record is from RNAcentral.
CUGGUCGAGUCGGCCUGCGCGGAAGAUGUAACGGGGCUAAACCAUGCACCGAAGCUGCGGCAGCGACGCUUAUGCGUUGUUGGGUAGGGGAGCGUUCUGUAAGCCUGCGAAGGUGUGCUGUGAGGCAUGCUGGAGGUAUCAGAAGUGCGAAUGCUGACAUAAGUAACGAUAAAGCGGGUGAAAAGCCCGCUCGCCGGAAGACCAAGGGUUCCUGUCCAACGUUAAUCGGGGCAGGGUGAGUCGACCCCUAAGGCGAGGCCGAAAGGCGUAGUCGAUGGGAAACAGGUUAAUAUUCCUGUACUUGGUGUUACUGCGAAGGGGGGACGGAGAAGGCUAUGUUGGCCGGGCGACGGUUGUCCCGGUUUAAGCGUGUAGGCUGGUUUUCCAGGCAAAUCCGGAAAACUAAGGCUGAGGCGUGAUGACGAGGCACUACGGUGCUGAAGCAACAAAUGCCCUGCUUCCAGGAAAAGCCUCUAAGCAUCAGGUAACAUCAAAUCGUACCCCAAACCGA